AAAAAACGCCAUCUGCAACCCUGAAGAGGACCUUCACCGGAGCCUGAACUUGCCAGCUCUCUGGUCUCUGACUGCCAGCCUCAGAACUAUAUCACCCAUUCGGGUGCUGGGUCCCAAUACACACACCUGUUCUCUUGGCCAGCAGAAGGCUAAAUGAUUUGAAUCAAAAGCAGGUGGUUGUUGGUGCGUGAGAAGGUCAAGCUGAUCCAAUCAGGACUUCUCAUCCACACCUGCAGGUAACUUUCCCCUUGCACAAACUUGAGUUCAUGAGGAAUCAGAGGUUUCGCUGCGACUUAGAAUAUCCCUUCCUAUUUUAGAGACUAAAACUUCUUUAAG
Mustela lutreola (European mink) is the source of this 336-nucleotide long non-coding RNA. RefSeq lists it as uncharacterized. Lineage: Eukaryota; Metazoa; Chordata; Mammalia; Carnivora; Mustelidae. The record is from RefSeq and is a predicted model, not a curated record. The transcript has 3 exons.